GUUCACUGAGUCCACUGGAUUAGCAAAGCAGGACAACGCCUUCUGUACCACCAUCUAUGCCAUCUAGUUAGGAGGCAGAAUCUCAGGACUAAUUGCUUCAUUUCUUCAUUUGGCCUUGAAAAAACAUUUCGUUAUUUGUUGUUGCCUGCUAUGUGGAAGGGACCAAGAAUAUCCUCUAAAACAGAAUCUGUUUUGUUUGGUGCUAUGGACACCCUAGGGAGGAAAAAAUUUUUUUGAAAGAGGAGCUGUCAUUUCCAACUUAUCUUUAUUACUCACCUCAAUGCUCGAGGAUCUCUCCACUCAUUCAUGAAGCGUAAUAAGGAGGACACGAAAGCUGGAGCUGGGGGAUGUCUGGCUAUUUUAUAUAAGAUGGCUGAGGAAGGCAGCACAGGUAUUCAAGCCAAGACCUGAGGGACACGAGCAAGCAAGCCACACAGACGUGUGCAAGAAAGGGGAUUGCAGCAAACGUGAAGAGGAAGCUGCAGCGUGGUUUGUAAAUCGUGAAAGAUCAAGGAAGCUGUGAGGACACAAUGAGAAGAUGGCCAUCUGCAAGCCAGGAAGAGAGCCCUCCCUGAGGAACUGAAUGGGCCAGCACCUUGGGCUUGGACUUCCAGUCUCCUGAACUGUUCCCUAAAGAGAUGCAUAAAUCUUGUGAGACGAGACACUGCAUGAAAAAUCUCUCUUCCAGAUAAUGGUUAUGGUGGUUCUAAAACAUGACUUCAAAUUCUUUGGGACUCCUCCCAUCAAAAGUGGGGUGCUUGUGAAGAUAUUUCCAAGGACGUAGUUCCCUGGAAGGAAGAAGUUCUGCGCUCCAGUGGGACCUCAUCAGAUACCCCUCCAUCUCUCCAUCUCCGGCUCUCCAGGAUAUUCUUCACAGCCUCCUCCUGCUGUUGUCCCUCUGUCUCUCUACAUCUUGGGAUAAUGGAAAGAUGGCUUCAGAUCAGGCCUCCAUUGUGCAACUGGCCCAUCCAGAAACUCAAGAAACUUCCCUGUGCCCAAAGUGGAGUAAAUAUAUGCUAUGCUUGCAAUCAAAAGAAAACAAUAAGUAUUGUUUUAAAGAAGUAGAAAUAAAAUCCAG
RNAcentral lists this long non-coding RNA (1078 nucleotides) under Equus asinus (donkey). RNAcentral's name for it is "lncRNA (ENSEASG00005028832.1)". Lineage: Eukaryota; Metazoa; Chordata; Mammalia; Perissodactyla; Equidae. The record is from RNAcentral.